RNAcentral lists this long non-coding RNA (242 nucleotides) under Lathyrus oleraceus (garden pea). RNAcentral's name for it is "Pisum sativum (pea) long non-coding RNA (PSAT_LNC015578)". The record is from RNAcentral. Lineage: Eukaryota; Viridiplantae; Streptophyta; Magnoliopsida; Fabales; Fabaceae.
AUUUCAGCAUUUUUAAAAGUCAAAAACUAUUUUUAAUCAAUUAAAAAUGAAUAAAAAUAACCUAAUUGAACUAAAAUCUCAAAUAAAUCUCAAAUCAAUAAAAAAAUUGAUGAGAGUAUUUUUCAUAGAUCCAUCAUCAUUCAAAUAGGUUAGGAAAAUAUUUUUGUAUUUUUUGAAUAUCAAAAACUAUUUAAGAUGAAUUAAAAAUAACCAAAAAUGAGAAAAUUCACAAAAAAUAGCAA